Molecule: ribosomal RNA, 199 nt
Filed under: uncultured bacterium
Lineage: Bacteria
Description: partial 16S ribosomal RNA
Rfam family: Bacterial small subunit ribosomal RNA
Source: RNAcentral
ACGCUCGACACCUACGGGAGGCAGCAGUGGGGAAUAUUGCACAAUGGGGGAAACCCUGAUGCAGCGACGCCGCGUGAAGGAAGAAGUAUCUCGGUAUGUAAACUUCUAUCAGCAGGGAAGAAAGUGACGGUACCUGACUAAGACGCCCCGGCUAACUACGUGCAAGCAGCCGCGGUAAUCUGAGGCGGGCUGGCAAGGC